RNAcentral lists this ribosomal RNA (468 nucleotides) under uncultured bacterium. Its description in RNAcentral is "partial 16S ribosomal RNA". It matches the Rfam family "Bacterial small subunit ribosomal RNA", at positions 28 to 507 of the family's 1533-position model. The record is from RNAcentral.
GACGAACGCUGGCGGCGUGCUUAACACAUGCAAGUCGAACGGAAAGGCCCUGCUUUUGUGGGGUGCUCGAGUGGCGAACGGGUGAGUAACACGUGAGUAACCUGCCCUUGACUUUGGGAUAACUUCAGGAAACUGGGGCUAAUACCGGAUAGGAGCUCCUUCUGCAUGGUGGGGGUUGGAAAGUUUCGGCGGUUGGGGAUGGACUCGCGGCUUAUCAGCUUGUUGGUGGGGUAGUGGCUUACCAAGGCUUUGACGGGUAGCCGGCCUGAGAGGGUGACCGGCCACAUUGGGACUGAGAUACGGCCCAGACUCCUACGGGAGGCAGCGGUGGGGAAUAUUGCACAAUGGGCGGAAGCCUGAUGCAGCAACGCCGCGUGCGGGAUGACGGCCUUCGGGUUGUAAACCGCUUUCGCCUGUGACGAAGCGUGAGUGACGGUAAUGGGUAAAGAAGCACCGGCUAACUACGUG